GGAUGGGUGGCCGAGUGGUUUAAGGCAGCGGUCUUGAAAACCGCCGUGGGUGAAAGCCCACCGUGGGUUCGAAUCCCACCCCAUCCGCCA
Molecule: transfer RNA, 90 nt
Filed under: Sphingomicrobium sp.
Lineage: Bacteria; Pseudomonadati; Pseudomonadota; Alphaproteobacteria; Sphingomonadales; Sphingomicrobiaceae
Also listed under: 5 other names
Description: tRNA-Ser
Rfam family: tRNA
About the family: Transfer RNA (tRNA) molecules are approximately 80 nucleotides in length.
Source: RNAcentral